RNAcentral lists this ribosomal RNA (252 nucleotides) under uncultured bacterium. RNAcentral describes it as "partial 16S ribosomal RNA". It matches the Rfam family "Bacterial small subunit ribosomal RNA", at positions 524 to 776 of the family's 1533-position model. The record is from RNAcentral.
UACAGAGGGUGCAAGCGUUGUUCGGAUUUACUGGGCGUAAAGCGUACGCAGACGGACCGUCAAGUCGGGAGUGAAAGCCUUGGGCUCACCCAGGAACGGCUUUCGAUACUAGCGGUCUUGAGUUUGGGAGAGGGAAGCGGAAUUCCUGGUGUAGAGGUGAAAUUCGUAGAUAUCAGGAGGAACACCGGCGGCGAAGGCGGCUUCCUGGCCCAAUACUGACGUUCAGGUACGAAAGCGUGGGUAGCAAACAGG